Molecule: ribosomal RNA, 117 nt
Filed under: uncultured Blautia sp.
Lineage: Bacteria; Bacillati; Bacillota; Clostridia; Lachnospirales; Lachnospiraceae
Source: RNAcentral
CGGUGGCGAUGCGCUCAGGGGACACACCCGUUCCCAUCCCGAACACGACGGUUAAGACCUGAGCGGCCGAUGGUACUGCAUUGGAGACGAUGUGGGAGAGCAGGUGGCCGCCGGAUC